This 28-nucleotide small RNA is filed under the name Bombyx mori (domestic silkworm). RNAcentral describes it as "ovarian small RNA-18193". Lineage: Eukaryota; Metazoa; Arthropoda; Insecta; Lepidoptera; Bombycidae. The record is from RNAcentral.
UAAACGGAUGGGAUGACGAUCGGGUGGU